UACAGAGGGGGCGAGCGUUGUUCGGAAUUACUGGGCGUAAAGGGCGCGUAGGCGGCCCGCUAAGUCGAACGUGAAAUCCCCAGGCUCAACCUGGGAACUGCGUCCGAUACUGGCAGGCUUGAAUCCGGGAGAGGGAUGUGGAAUUCCAGGUGUAGCGGUGAAAUGCGUAGAUAUCUGGAGGAACACCGGUGGCGAAGGCGGCACCCUGGACCGGUAUUGACGCUGAGGCGCGAAAGCGUGGGGAGCAAACAGG
This 253-nucleotide ribosomal RNA is filed under the name uncultured bacterium. RNAcentral's name for it is "partial 16S ribosomal RNA". It matches the Rfam family "Bacterial small subunit ribosomal RNA", at positions 524 to 776 of the family's 1533-position model. The record is from RNAcentral.